GAUGAAGAACGUAGCGAAAUGCGAUAAGUAAUGUGAAUUGCAGAAUUCAGUGAAUCAUCGAAUCUUUGAACGCACAUUGCGCCCCCUGGCAUUCCGGGGGGCAUGCCUGUUCGAGCGUCAUUUCACCACUCAAGCCUCGCUUGGUAUUGGGCAACGCGGUCCGCCGCGUGCCUCAAAUCGACCGGCUGGGUCUUCUGUCCCCUAAGCGUUGUGGAAACUAUUCGCUAAAGGGUGUUCGGGAGGCUACGCCGUAAAACAACCCCAUUUCUAAGGUUGACCUCGGAUCAGGUAGGGAUACCCGCUGAACUUAAGCAUAUCAUAAGCGGAGGA
Molecule: unclassified non-coding RNA, 330 nt
Filed under: soil metagenome
Description: partial contains 5.8S ribosomal RNA, internal transcribed spacer 2, and large subunit ribosomal RNA
Rfam family: 5.8S ribosomal RNA (bases 1-120)
Source: RNAcentral